UCGCUACGCGGACACAGAACGAGAACGCUCGGUACACGAAGACGUUGACUUAGGGAGCGUCGAUAAAGUAUUUGGAUUUUCAAGAAAUUAAUAAUUCAAUAGCGUCCAAACCAUAUGACCUAUUGGUUCAAAACCUGCUCCAAUCUAUGUGUCUACAUGUCCUUCACAGUGCACAACCAUUUAUAUGAGGAAAUAGUCAUGUUUCAUAUUUUUCUAUAAUAUUUUAGUAUAAAUAUUACUGUAAUAUUUCAAUACCAUCCACACCAUAUGACCUACUGGUUCAAAACCUGUUCCAAACUGUGUGUCUACAUCCCCUUCACAGGGCACAACCUUUUAUAUGAGGAAAUAGUCAUGUUGCCUAUUUUUCUAUAAUAUUUUUGUGUAAAUAUUACUGUAAUUUUUCAAUACCAUCCACACCAUAUGACCUAUUGGUUCAAAACCUGUUCCAAACUGUGUGUCUACAUCCCCUUCACAGGGCACAACCUUUUAUAUGAGGAAAUAGUCAUGUUGCAUAUUUUUCUAUAAUAUUUUUGUGUAAAUAUUACUGUAAUUUUUCAAUACCAUCCACACCAUAUGACCUAUUGGUUCAAACCCUGUUCCAAACUGUGUGUCUACAUCCUCUUCACAGGGCACAACCUUUUAUAUGAGGAAAUAGUCAUGUUGCAUAUUUUUCUAUAAUAUUUUUGUGUAAACAUUACUGUAAUUUUUCAAUACCGUCCACACCAUAUGACCUAUUGGUUCAAAACCUGUUCCAAACUGUGUGUCUACAUCCCCUUCACAGGGCACAACCUUUUAUAUGAGGAAAUAGUCAUGUUGCAUAUUUUUCUAUAAUAUCUCUGUGUAAAUAUUACUGUAAUAUUUCAAUACCAUCCACACCAUAUGACCUACUGGUUCAAAACCUGCUCCAAACUGUGUGUCUACAUCCCCUUCACAGGGCACAACCUUUUAUAUGAGGAAAUAGUCAUGUUACCUAUUUUUCUAUAAUAUUUUUGUGUAAAUAUUACUGUAAUUUUUCAAUACCAUCCACACCAUAUGACCUAUUGGUUCAAAACCUGUUCCAAACUGUGUGUCUACAUCCCCUUCACAGGGCACAACCUUUUAUAUGAGGAAAUAGUCAUGUUGCAUAUUUUUCUAUAAUAUUUUUGUGUAAAUAUUACUGUAAUAUUUCAAUACCAUCCACACCAUAUGACCUACUGGUUCAAAACCUGCUCCAAACUGUGUGUCUACAUCUCCUUCACAGGGCACAACCUUUUAUAUGAGGAAAUAGUCAUGUUGCAUAUUUUUCUAUAAUGUUUUUGUGUAAAUAUUACUGUAAUUUUUCAAUACCAUCCACACCAUAUGACCUACUGGUUCAAAGCCUGUUCCAAACUGUGUGUCUACAUCUCCUUCACAGGGCACAACCUUUUUUUGAGGAUCAAAUCAUCUUUCAUAUUUUUCUAUAAUAUUUUAGUGUAAAUAUUACUGUAAUUUUUCAAUACCGUCUACACCAUAUGACCUAUUGGUUCAAAACCUUCUCUGAAAUUAUCAUCUACAUCUCCUUCACAGGGCACAACCUUUUAUAUGAGGAAAUAGUCAUGUUCCAUAUUUUUCUAUAAUAUUUUUGUGUAAAUAUUACUGUAAUUUUUCAAUACCAUCCACACCAUAUGACCUAUUGGUUCAAAACCUGCUCCAAACUGUGUGUCUACAUCUCCUUCACAGGGCACAACCUUUUUUCUGAGGAAAUAGUCAUGUUGCAUAUUUUUCUAUAAUAUCUUUGUGUAAAUAUUACUGUAAUAUUUCAAUACCAUCCACACCAUAUGACCUAUUGGUUCAAAACCUUCUCUGAAAGGUUCAUCUACAUCUCCUUCACAGGGCACAACCUUUUUUCUGAGGAAAUAGUCAUGUUGCAUAUUUUUCUAUAAUAUUUUUGUGUAAAUAUUACUGUAAUAUUUCAAUACCAUCCACACCAUAUGACCUAUUGGUUCAAAACCGUCUCUGAAAGGUUCAUCUACAUCUCCUUCACAGGGCACAACCUUUUUUCUGAGGAAAUAGUCAUGUUGCAUAUUUUUCUAUAAUAUUUUUGUGUAAAUAUUACUGUAAUAUUUCAAUACCAUCCACACCAUAUGACCUAUUGGUUCAAAACCUGUUCCAAACUGUGUGUUUACAUCCCCUUCACAGGGCACAACCUUUUAUAUGAGGAAAUAGUCAUGUUGCAUAAUUUUCUAUAAUAUUUCUGUGAAAAUAUUACUGUAAUUUUUCUAUACCGUCCACACCAUAUGACCUAUUGGUUCAAAACCUGUUCCAAACUGUGUGUCUACAUCCCCUUCACAGGGCACAACCUUUUAUAUGAGGAAAUAGUCAUGGUGCCUAUUUUUCUAUAAUAUUUUUGUGUAAAUAUUAAUGUAAUAUUUCAAUACCAUCCACACCAUAUGACCUAUUGGUUCAAAACCUGUUCCAAACUGUGUGUCUACAUCCCCUUCACAGGGCACAACCUUUUAUAUGAGGAAAUAGUCAUGUUGCAUAUUUUUCUAUAAUAUUUUUGUGUAAAUAUUACUGUAAUAUUUCAAUACCGUCCACACCAUAUGACCUACUGGUUCAAAACCUUCUCUGAAAUGUUCAUCUACAUCUCCUUCACAGGGCACAACCUUUUUUCUGAGGAAAUAGUCAUGUUCCAUAUUUUUCUAUAAUAUUUUAAUAUCUGUGUGUUUAAAUCUCCUUGUUGGGGCACAGCCAUUCUUAUGAGGAUAUGGUGAUGUUGCAUUAAUUCCAGUAACAUUUCAAUGAUAAUAUUACUACCGGUACUACCGCUGGCCACAGACAUUUAAGGUGAUUUUAUUUGCCACUCCUAAUCAGCAGGUGGCGAUAAAGCUAUUAAAGGCUAAUACCAAUCCCAUUAAAUUGCCUCAGAACAAAACAAACUUCUGGAAAAGUGUUGCGCAUGUGCUGCUUAUCCUUAGCAUCCCUACACAAAUAUGGUUCGUUUCAAAAAAGGCCACAAGAAAAAGACAACUGAUCACUGGGAACAUGCUGGAGGAAAAGAUGCAAUAAUUCGUUGUUUACUUAAAAACGGUUUUGCUAAACAUAAUGCAGCUAUUACAGCUGAGCAGUGGUCUGCAGUCAGUGGCAGUCUUUUUAAAAAUGACAGUAAAUGCUAUUUAAAAUGGCUAAAGGUGAUAUGGUUUCAGGACAGAAAAAGCAUCAAGACAACAGUACUUUCAGGUAAGGUUUCAUGUGUAUAAGGUAACAAACUGAAAGCUGUAUGUAUGCAUGCAUGCUGCUGUUCAUGCUGUUAAAGGUGUGUAAUAUUAUCAAGCUACAGACACAAAUUAAAGUAGAGAAAACUGAACUGUUUACCUAAUAGCCAUUUCAUGUACUUAUUGUACCCCCAAAGUGUGACACGACACAGUACUUAACAAUAAGUCAGGUGUUAUGUCACACAGGUUAAGGUAUAUUACAUUUUUGACAUAUUUGUGUUUAGGGAAAGGUGUGAGUAGUGAAGUGAAGAUUGAGUCAAGCAAAACAGACAAAGAGGACAUAUUAAAAAGAAAAUGUGAAAAAACAGAGAGGAGUGCUGAGGAAUUUGAGAGUAAUAGGACGGGCGACGUGUGCAACAGUGUCACAGACAGACAGGCCAUCGAAAAGAGAAACAGCAAAAAAGACAAAUGUGAUGAGGCGAGUGGACUUACAUCAGCAUGUGAGGACUCAAGGGACACUGUAGAAGAAGACGUAGUCAAAGAGAUGUUUCAGACUUAUCAGCCAGUGAAGAAAAUUGGUAAAAAAAGAAACCCAAAAAAACAGUGCAAGAAACAAAUAUAUGUAAAGACAGGUGAAAAGAAGGGACACAAGAAGGGACACCAGGGCACAGUUAAAGAGCUGUUCAGAGCAGAAGAAGAUGAGGUUGAUGACAAAACCAUAAGGGCAAACAGCGGUGCUAAGGAAAAUGAGAGCAAUAGGAAGGAAGACUUGUACAACAAUGUCAAAGACAACCAAGCCAUGGAAAAGACAAACAACACAAAAGACAAAUGUGAUGAGGGAAGUGGACAUAUAUCAGCAUGUGAGGAAUCAAGGGACACGGUAGAAGAAGACGUAGUCACAGAGAUGUUUCAGACUUAUCAACCAGUGAAGGCAAUGGACAGCGAAACACAUGAUGACAUCACACAAUCACAAAAUGGCCUUCAGAAAGGUCAUACAAGUUCAAUUACUUAUGAACCAAACAAAGACAGCAUUGGAAAUCACAAGAAAAGUGUUUUAACUAAAGAGAAUACUAUACCUGUAGAGGACAGAAGCAAUGGACAGGAUUGUGAGGAAAGUGAAGAGGAGGAAACAGUGGAAAGCCAGUGUACAAAACAAAUAUCACUGAAAGGACUAAAAAGUUUAAAAUGUAAAGCAAAGCAUAUAGAUGGCAAUCACUACCGGAGGUGCAAUGCAGGGCCCAAGGUCUAAACAGUGGACUAAAAUAAAACCAAAACCUGGAAGAAAAAAUCUUAAUCCUCCAUGGACAGACAUAUUUUAUCACGAAUUUUUAAAACAAAAUCCAUCUUGUACACUUUCAUUCAAGUACCAACAUGUCAAGACGGGUCACAGUCGUAAAAAGAAAUCUCUAUUUUUCCAUGCAUCAGCAAGACGUACAUUUGAUGGAUGCAAGGCUGUGUAUAUCUUUACAAAAAAGUCCAAACCACAGUCAACAGAUAAAAAAAUCUGUUUCAAGGUUAGGCGACAAGGUGAAGUAAAACAUCUUAAACAACAACAGAAAUGUAGACCAGCUAAAUACCUGCGAAGGGGAGCUAUUGCAAAGGCUUUAUCUGCAGGUGUCAGCAAUUACUAUUAUAAUAUGUUGACAAAGACUCCAACACAGGAAGUGCUCGCUGGCAACAUGAGUAGAAGCCUAACCAAGGAUGUUUUGAAGAAAAUAUCAUCCGAGGUGAGAAAGAGUUCAAGGCUUCACAAUGGCAUGAUGCUUGAGCUCAUGCUAACUCAAAAAAUAAUCAAACAGAGUGGCAGUCAUGCAGCAUCAAAUGGCUAUCUCCAGAGCCUACAGAUAGAUCCUUUUGCUGUUCAUCUUUACACAGAAAGCGGAAUCCAAAUAUUAACAAAGCAUUUAAAAAAGUCAGCACCCAUCACCUUGCACCUUGAUGCAACAGGCAGCGUUGUACAGAAGAUUCCUGAUCAAGAUAAGCGGGUCUUGUAUUAUGCACUGGUUUUGCCUGGCAUGGGAAAGGAUAAGCCUCCUUUGCCUGUUGCAGAGCUUAUUUCAAACAGUCAUUCAAUCCCAACCAUUUCAUACUGGCUCAUGGAAUUCAGGAGGAAGCUGUGUUAUGCUACAAAGAGGAGGAUAGCACAGAUUGAAACUGACCACAGCUGGGCUCUGAUCAACAGUGUACUUCUUUCCUUUAAUAAGGAAAAUAUUUCAGUGUACCUUGACAGAGCCUUUGAAAGUAUAUAUUCCUCAACACUCCAGAAAAUCCCUGCCUUUACUGUGGUACACAUCUGCUCUGCCCACAUCAUGAAGACAGUGGCUCAAGCUUUUGGAAAAAAAACUGCAGACAAAGGCAUUAAAGAGUAUGCAAGCUUCACAUUUGCUUGCCUUCUCAACUGCACAGCUAUGGACGAGGCUCUUGAUAUUUUUUAUCAUAUGUGUGUGGUUUUCAAGGCAGAGGAUGAUACACCUCUGGUAAAAAGCAGCAAGACUUAUUUGAAUAAGUGCAUCCUACAAACACAAGACACAAAAGUAGAAGAAAGUGAAGCACAUACAGCUGAAACUAAGUGCAGCAGGGACAGUGGUUCCAACAGUGUUGUUGGAAAGUCACCUUUUACACAAGCAUUUCAAGUCAAAUGUGAUCAGGCAGAGUGUGAUAUCCUGUCUGAGGAUGUAACUAGUGUCAAAAACCAGUUCUUCUGCUCUGGCAUCAUAGAGGUCCUCCUUGAAUCCUACAUGGGAAUCUUCCCAUUGUGGAGUGGUGUGCUGCUAGGAGAUCUUAUGAGACACAGAAAAGUCAGAAGCUGUAAAAUAGAAGCCAAAGGAAAGACAAGAGAGACUAACUGUCACGUUGAACUCUGGUUUGGCUUAGUGAAGCAUUCCAUUCUUCAAAAAAGAAAAUUCUUAAGACCGGCAGAAUUUGUUUCUAAAAUGUUUGCCUCCAUACAAGGGCGUUACUUGGAGCAUAUCAACAAACAUAAUCUGCCAUUGGACAUUCUGGAAAAAAAGGUGUCAGGUUGUACAAACACAGGGGAUGACCAGCAGGAACAGUGGGCCAAACGGGAGAGCUCAAGUCAUUCCAGGACUAAAUCUAAGUAUUUUAAUCCACCUGCCAAACUGCCAAUGCCCAAAACUAAAAAAAUCCAACACAAAAAAAUUAACAGCACAAAAGAGAACCUUGGUGACAAAGAUGCCCAGUUAACAAGGCUGUGGGGAAGAAAAGACACAGAGGUGAUUGUUGCAGUACUUCAGUUACAAACCAAGGGUCGCAACAUUGUCAUCCAUCACAGCGAGCUCUGUUCACUUCGUCCAAAUCAGUGGUUAACAGGCGAGGUCAUUGAAGGCUUGUUUCAUGUUGCUGCCCACAAGUUAAAUAUCUUAAGCAAGAUCUACAUACUGAAUCAUUACACAGCUGGGGCAAUUUUGUUUGGUGACAGAACACAACUCUCUCACUACAGUUUACCAAAGGUAAACCUUAGCAACUACCAGGCUGUUCUGUCAUUUGUGCUGGUCAACAACAAUCACUGGAAGAUGCUGUACAUUAAUGCAGCAAGAAGCAUGGUGUAUCUGGUGGAUCCAGCUCCUUCAAAAUUGGAGUUGCAGCAUUCUGAAGAUGCAGCAAAGAAAAUCCAGGAGUUUUUGAAAAUGAGGAGAACCUGUCAUGGAAAAACUGACUGGGUGGACAUAAAGUGGAAAGAUGGCAAAAUCAGUGAUGGAAAGCUUUCCUAAAAUACCAAGAAUGACUUUUGGGACUUCAAAAAAGGAAAUGGCAAAUGAGAGGCGAGCCCUGGGACUUGAAGUCCUGGAGGCCUCAAUCUUUGAUGAGCACACCAACUGUGCUAUGUGUGCCACUUUUAAGCCUCCAGGAUCUGGACCAGGCAUUACAAACUGGGUAAGUUGGUUACAUUCAAAAAUUCAAGAUUCAGAAGUAUUAUGUUGUCACAAAGGGAGAAAAGUAAAUCAUAAACAUUUUACAGGUCCAGUGUGAUGAGUGUGAAAGAUGGUUUCAUGCUCAGUGUCUAUGUAUGAAGAAUGCAGAGUUUGAAAAGGCCAAAGGAGGAAUGUGGAACUGUGUCUUAUGCGAAUGAAGGAAAUAAUAUUUGUAGUAUUGGAAAUACUACUGUACGUUAUAUGUAAAUACAACCAGAAAAAAUGUAUAAUGUAUAAAUGUAUAAUAAAUGAUAGAUAUCCUGUAGGUAUCCUAGAUUUCUUGCUCACGUCGUUGAAUGAUAUCCUACUGAGAAAUUUUGUGCCAUAAUCAGUUUCAAUUAUAAAUUGUGUUAUAAGUUUUGAACCAGUAGGUCAUAUGGUGUGGAUG
Molecule: RNA transcript, 7493 nt
Organism: Betta splendens (Siamese fighting fish)
Lineage: Eukaryota; Metazoa; Chordata; Actinopteri; Anabantiformes; Osphronemidae
Exons: 8
Source: RefSeq, a predicted model, not a curated record